AAACGUAGUUACAAAUUACAAGGUGUGUGUAAGGUUACAAAUUUAAUUUUCAAUGAACAAAAACAUCUAUUUUUAGUUUUCACAGGUCGUGAUCUUUAAAUAAGAUGAAUAACUCUAACCAAUAAUUCAGUCUUAGCUAGUCCGCGCGGCAGAUGAUGCAAACUAGACGGAAAUUAUGCAUGUUGAAAUGCAAUAAAAUAAUUAAAAUUAAGCCUUUUAUCUAUUUUUUAAAGUUUGCAGUCAAAUGUCACUCAGCAAAUCUUAAAAGAUUGCUUCUCAAAAUUCGGCAAUAACGGCACAAUUUUUGUUCGUGAAUCAUCAUACAUCAUCAUAAUUUAUUAUUUAAUAUAUGUAUAUGUUAUGUAUAUAUAUUUAAAAUAUUCUUACGUCUUCUUUGUUGAAUUUUUUAUUCAGUCCGCCCUCGCGUCCUGCAUAUUAAAACUUUUUUAAUAAGUAAAAAAAGUUUUUUUUUGCGUACAAACUUCCGGAAAGAAUUAAAGCGGAUUAGCGCUGCAGUGGUGCAGGUGCAGAAGAUGUCAAACCUUUGCUGUGGUAUUUUGAAGAAAUUAUUUUUCUUUACCCAAGAAACACCUAGUGCUUCAGUGAGCACGAUGGACAUAUCUCAGGAUGUUCACGACGACGAGGAUCAUGCAGGUGUAAAUGAAACCAGCGGCCACACAGCGAAUAAUGAACCUCGCCAAAAUAACAGGAAACGUACAGCUCUACAUCUCACUGACGAAUUGGUGCAAUUGGCUUCCAAACGCCUUCAACAACCACAAGACGACACCGAGAAAAUUGCUGCAUCUUGGGCAGUCGAGCUCCGAAGCUGGGAAGAAAGCAGUCAAAGAUAUUUUAUUUGAAGAAAUAACUGUGAACCCUGGGAACAUCGUAAUUCUGUGGAAAAUAACGUCUCACGAUUCUCCACACCAUAUUGUGUUCAGUCCCUCCCUUUAAUACCUCUUCAUUCCGUCAGUACGAAUUAACAGAUCCCUCUCCGCAAGACACAAGUACACAUUUCGCUACUUUCCAGUAAGAAUAUUACCUUUAAAAUUUAUGUAGGUAUACAUUCUGUACAAUGUCAAUUCUUAUUCUACCCAAUCAAUGUA
RNA transcript from Anthonomus grandis grandis, 1106 nucleotides. RefSeq lists it as uncharacterized. The transcript has 3 exons. NCBI's taxonomy places the organism in Eukaryota, Metazoa, Arthropoda, Insecta, Coleoptera, Curculionidae. The record is from RefSeq and is a predicted model, not a curated record.